GCCUUUGUGGUGUAGUGGUCAGCACAUUCAAUGCGUAACUGAGAGGUCCAUGGUUCAAUUCCCGGUGAAGGCA
This 73-nucleotide transfer RNA is filed under the name Stegodyphus mimosarum. It matches the Rfam family "tRNA". From Rfam's summary of the family: Transfer RNA (tRNA) molecules are approximately 80 nucleotides in length. Lineage: Eukaryota; Metazoa; Arthropoda; Arachnida; Araneae; Eresidae. The record is from Rfam by way of RNAcentral.